AGUGAACGCUGGCGGCGUGCUUAACACAUGCAAGUCGAACGAGAACGGGAAUAUAGCUUGCUAUAUUUGUCAGCUAAGUGGCGCACGGGUGGGUAAUGUAUAGAUAACCUGCCCUUAAGAAAGGAAUAACAGUUGGAAACGACUGCUAAUGCCCUAUAUGCCUUUAAUACAUAAGUAUGCAAGGGAAACGCUUUAGUGCUUAAGGAUGGGUCUGUAUGGUAUCAGCUUGUUGGUGAGGUAAUGGCUCACCAAGGCUAUGACGCCUAACUGGUUUGAGAGGAUGAUCAGUCACACUGGAACUGAGACACGGUCCAGACUCCUACGGGAGGCAGCAGUGGGGAAUAUUGCACAAUGGACGAAAGUCUGAUGCAGCAACGCCGCGUGGAGGAUGACACAUUUCGGUGCGUAAACUCCUUUUAUAUAGGAAGAUAAUGACGGUACUAUAUGAAUAAGCACCGGCUAACUCCGUGCCAGCCGCCGCAGUAA
RNAcentral lists this ribosomal RNA (486 nucleotides) under uncultured bacterium. RNAcentral describes it as "partial 16S ribosomal RNA". It matches the Rfam family "Bacterial small subunit ribosomal RNA", at positions 29 to 523 of the family's 1533-position model. The record is from RNAcentral.